This 253-nucleotide ribosomal RNA is filed under the name uncultured bacterium. Its description in RNAcentral is "partial 16S ribosomal RNA". It matches the Rfam family "Bacterial small subunit ribosomal RNA", at positions 524 to 776 of the family's 1533-position model. The record is from RNAcentral.
UACGUAGGUGGCAAGCGUUGUCCGGAUUUAUUGGGUUUAAAGGGUGCGUAGGCGGCAUUUUAAGUCAGUGGUGAAAGCCGAUCGCUUAACGAUCGAACUGCCAUUGAUACUGAAAUGCUUGAGUAUAGAUGAGGUAGGCGGAAUUGACAGUGUAGCGGUGAAAUGCAUAGAUAUUGUCAAGAACACCAAUUGCGAAGGCAGCUUACUAAGUUAUAACUGACGCUGAGGCACGAAAGUGCGGGGAUCAAACAGG